Molecule: ribosomal RNA, 253 nt
Filed under: uncultured bacterium
Lineage: Bacteria
Description: partial 16S ribosomal RNA
Rfam family: Bacterial small subunit ribosomal RNA
Source: RNAcentral
UACAGAGGUGCCAAGCGUUAGGCGGAAUCACUGGGCUUAAAGCGCGUGUAGGUGGACGGGUAAGUAUCUUGUGAAAUCCCACGGCUCAACCGUGGAACUGCUGGAUAUACUGCUUGUCUUGAGGCACUUAGGGGCAGCUGGAACAAAUGGUGGAGCGGUGAAAUGCGUAGAUAUCAGGAGGAACACCGGUGGCGAAGGCGGGUCUCUGGGCCGAUACUGACGCUGAGGAGCGAAAGCGUGGGGAGCGAACAGG